GGAUAAUAUUAUUUUGCUAUUUUCGACCAAUAAUAUAAAGACAUGUGAAAAAAUAAUCCAACAUGUCAUUACGUUAUUGGCUGAGAAUAACAAAAAGUGUUAUAUCC
This 107-nucleotide microRNA precursor is filed under the name Prunus persica (peach). RNAcentral describes it as "MIR6274 microRNA precursor family". It matches the Rfam family "MIR6274 microRNA precursor family". The record is from Rfam by way of RNAcentral. Lineage: Eukaryota; Viridiplantae; Streptophyta; Magnoliopsida; Rosales; Rosaceae.